Molecule: ribosomal RNA, 250 nt
Filed under: uncultured bacterium
Lineage: Bacteria
Description: partial 16S ribosomal RNA
Rfam family: Bacterial small subunit ribosomal RNA
Source: RNAcentral
AACGUAGGGGACAAGCGUUAUCCGGAUUUACUGGGCGUAAAGAGCCCGUAGGCGGUCAGCUAAGUUGGACGUGAAAGCUCCCGGCUUAACUGGGAGAGGUCGGACAAAACUGGUUGACUUGAGGCUGAGAGAGGCGAGCGGAAUUCCCGGUGUAGUGGUGGAAUGCGUAGAUAUCGGGAGGAACACCAGUGGCGAAGGCGGCUCGCUGGCUCAGACCUGACGCUGAGGGGCGAAAGCGUGGGGAGCGAAC